GCGGAUGUAGCCAAGGGG
This 18-nucleotide transfer RNA is filed under the name Sarawakia petradoxa. RNAcentral describes it as "Schismatoglottis petradoxa partial tRNA-His". The record is from RNAcentral. Lineage: Eukaryota; Viridiplantae; Streptophyta; Magnoliopsida; Alismatales; Araceae.